UACCGAGUCUAAACAACUCAUCAACCCUGUGAACAUACNUAAAACGUUGCUUCGGCGGGAACAGACGGCCCCGUAAGACGGGCCGCCCCCGCCAGAGGACCCCCUAACUCUGUUGCUAUAUGUAUCUUCUGAGNUAAACAAGCAAAUAAAUUAAAACUUUCAACAACGGAUCUCUUGGCUCUGGCAUCGAUGAAGAACGCAGCGAAAUGCGAUAAGUAAUGUGAAUUGCAGAAUUCAGUGAAUCAUCGAAUCUUUGAACGCACAUUGCGCCCGCCAGUAUUCUGGCGGGCAUGCCUGUUCGAGCGUCAUUACAACCCUCAGGCCCCCGGGCCUGGCGUUGGGGAUCGGCGAGGCGCCCCCCUGCGGGCACGCGCCGUCCCCCAAAUACAGUGGCGGUCCCGCCGCAGCUUCCAUUGCGUAGUAGCUAACACCUCGCAACUGGAGAGCGGCGCGGCCAUGCCGUAAAACACCCAACUUCUGAAUGUUGACCUCGAAUCAGGUAGGAAUACCCGCUGAACUUAANCAUAUCAAUAAGCGGAGGAAAAGAAACCAACAGGGAUUGCCCCAGUAACGGCGAGUGAAGCGGCAACAGCUCANAUUUGAAAUCUGGCUCUCGGGCCCGAGUUGUAAUUUGUAGAGGAUGCUUUUGGUGAGGUGCCUUCCGAGUUCCCUGGAACGGGACGCC
Molecule: ribosomal RNA, 685 nt
Filed under: Fusarium solani
Lineage: Eukaryota; Fungi; Ascomycota; Sordariomycetes; Hypocreales; Nectriaceae
Description: eukaryotic LSU rRNA
Rfam family: 5.8S ribosomal RNA (bases 155-308)
Source: RNAcentral